AUGGCGACCUCGUCAUCCCAGGCGGCGCCGCCCGUCGCCGUCGGCGAGGAUCCAGCGGCGCCCGCAAAGGGAGAAGAGAGGACGAAGAAGGAGAAGACGAGGGUGGUCUUGCCGCAGUUCCACCUGGACACGCUCAUGAGGGCCGAGGAAUUCCUGGAGCCUCUGCCGCCGACGGACAAGGAGUUUCUUGCGCGGGUCCGCGAGCAGCGCGUGCAGAAGGGCUUCGUCGAGAUAGAACUCACCGACGACGACGAAGACGAGGAGGAGGAAGAGGGAGGAAACGCAGCUCCCCCGGCUGGUGGAAGGGGAUCUAUGGAGGACAGGUUCAGCCCCGAGGUGACCAAGAAACCGGACGGCGGCUGCGGCGGCGGCACUGCGAUCAAGAAGCUCAGCUGA
Molecule: ribosomal RNA, 396 nt
Filed under: Triticum aestivum (bread wheat)
Lineage: Eukaryota; Viridiplantae; Streptophyta; Magnoliopsida; Poales; Poaceae
Description: partial small subunit ribosomal RNA
Source: RNAcentral